GUCCACGCUGUAAACGAUGAUCACUCGUUGUUUGCGAUAUACCGCAAGUGACCAAGCGAAAGCGAUAAGUGAUCCACCUGGGGAGUACGUUCGCAAGAAUGAAACUCAAAGGAAUUGACGGGGGCCCCGCACAAGCGGAGGAACAUGUGGUUUAAUUCGAUGAUACGCGAGGAACCUUACCUGGGUUUAAAUGGGGAGUGACAGGGGUGGAAACAUCCUUUUCUUCGGACACUCUUCAAGGUGCUGCAUGGUUGUCGU
This 258-nucleotide ribosomal RNA is filed under the name uncultured bacterium. RNAcentral describes it as "partial 16S ribosomal RNA". It matches the Rfam family "Bacterial small subunit ribosomal RNA", at positions 793 to 1055 of the family's 1533-position model. The record is from RNAcentral.